CAUCGGUCUAGCAAGUUCACACUCAAGCAAAAUGAUUUUUAGUUUGACACCCCGAAACUAGUAGAGCUACUCCGAGGCAGCUAAUAGAGCCAACCCUUCUCUGUGGCAAAAGAGUGGGAAGACCCCCGAGUAGCGGUGACAGACCUAACGAGUCUAGUGAUAGCUGGUUGCUCANAAAAAGAAUAUUAGUUCUGCUCUAAACCUAUUAAAAGCAAACUAAGCAUAAAAUAAGAUUUAGAAGUUAUUCAAUAAGGGUACAGCCUUAUUGAAUUAGGACACAACCUACUCAGAUGGGUUAUAACUACAACCACCAAGGCAAGUGACUAAGUAGGCUUAAAAGCAGCCACCUAUUAAGAAAGCGUCAAAGCUCACCCACAAUAACCCCUAAAAUCCCAGCAUUUACAAUAAAACCCUCACUCACUACUGAGCUGCUCCAUACUCCUAUGGAGCUAUUAAUGCUAGAACUAGUAACAAGAGCACAAACCUCUCUAACAAUGCAAACCUAAGUCAGAUCGAACACCUCACUGACAAUUAACGUCAGCCAUAGAGCCAAAAUAGAAACCAAACAAGAAAACCCUAUUAAAAACACCGUUAACCUAACACAAGAGCAUUAAAAGAAAGAUAUAAAGACGCAUAAGGAACUCGGCAAACACGAACCCCGCCUGUUUAC
RNAcentral lists this ribosomal RNA (670 nucleotides) under Hymenochirus boettgeri (Congo dwarf clawed frog). Its description in RNAcentral is "partial 16S ribosomal RNA". The stretch from base 1 to 463 matches the Rfam family "Bacterial large subunit ribosomal RNA", at positions 613 to 1301 of the family's 2925-position model. Lineage: Eukaryota; Metazoa; Chordata; Amphibia; Anura; Pipidae. The record is from RNAcentral.